AGGACAUUUGUCAGUCUUGCAAGAUUGGUUAGUUUCGACCGCUCUAGAUCUCAUGGGUCAGUUCCCAGUGCUUGUUCUGCUGCUUGUCCUAGGGUGCACAGCCACAUGUUUCUCUCAAGACGUGGGGGAAUCCAAUAAGGGUAAGUUCUAUAUACUGAGGAACCAGGUAAAAUAUGAUCAAAGUUUUAAAACGAAAUCAGAAACUAUAUCAUAAAAUGAACAUUGCUUCAAGAAUUAUUGCAAACAGCCCUGAUCUUCCUGCUUUUUCUGUGUAUAUUGCAUGUACAGCAAUUGUUUGAUUUGCCAUUGUGAAAUUAGUAUUAUGGAUGGAAAUUACAAGACAUGGCCCUGAGAUUCUGUAUACUAGGACCUCAAACUGUUUAUUUAUUUUGCCACUAAACCGCAGUUAACCUCAGUCUAUUAAUAUAGGAGAAGCAGCAAUGAUAGGAUUUAUUUUGCAAGUGAUUAGUGAUAUUAGUUUAUUUUGGAGUAUUUGAACAAAUACAUUUGCUUUGGUUUUUAAAAGUGGCAGAAACAUUAGAACAUCACUGCUGAACAUCUUGAUAUUUUCAGGGUUAUUCACUAAAGGGUGAAGUGUCAGGAAUUCAAACUGUAUUCAAAGUGAAUUUCAAGGUCAAAGUUACCAAACUGGUAAAAUAAUCAAAGCCACUUAGGCUUCCAGUUUGGCUACUUUGGCCUUAAAUUAAAAAAUUCACCUUGAAUUCCCCAAAAUACUCACUUUAGUUUAAAACAACAGCCAAAACUAAAAAGAAUAAAAUAAAAAAAGAAAGAAAAGAAAAUGCUAGUUCUCCCAAUUCCUUAUACAUCUAUUAUAUAUUUUACUAUUGAUUUAUAAAAUAUUUUACCAGGAAAGAUACAUUGUGAUUUCUCUUGUUUUCAAGUAUGUCCUGGGUACACAAAACAUUGCAUUGAUCUGAUAGGGUAUAAUAAAAUACAAAACCAAUAUUUUUUAUUAUUUUAAUUCUUUAUUUUUGGUGCAAUUUCAGCGGUACAGACAUAAGUAAGGGUGCCACAAUAGCAUAUGUAUGAGGUACAUUCACAUUUCGUUUGUCUCAUAGAUUGGGCCGAGUUGAGCUGUGCACAUUUUAUAUUAGCUAUGUAGUUUUAACGGGGUAUCUGACUGUGCCAGUGGUGAGUGUGAUAUGUAUGUCUAGUGUCAUCCCAGUGGGACUCUUAGGUGGUGUUGGGGCACUGGCACACCAUAUGGCCUCGGUGGUUGCUUAGUUCCUUGCGUGGCUCGAGAUGUGUCAGGUUAGGUAGCGGAGCAAGGUCUUAGCGUUUGCGUCUCGUUUAUGUGAGAGUGCAGUGGUGUUUUGGAGCUCGUGUGUUUGUGCCUUUGCAGGGCUUGGCCUGUCGUGGCAGCAUAUAGGAGUCGUAUGACCUCUUCUUUUGUUUUUUUCCCCCAGCUAGGCCGAUAUUUCUGCGUGAAGGCUCCAAGGUUUACUGUGCCCUAUAACCCCGGGCAUUUGGGGGGGGGAGGGCCCCUGGUCUGGGCGCUAGGCAACCACCUUACCAUCACAGGACUGUGUAAUUAGUUCUAACCAGUAAGGUUAGGGUCAAUGAUAACAGGUUGUGAGUGACUUAGCUUGUCAUCAAAAAAGCAAAACAAAGCAAAACAAACAGCGAAUAAAAAUAACAAUAACAAUAGGCUAGCAAUGUGGCCAAUGCAGGUUUCAGGUUGCGGGUCCCGUGAGCGUGGUGGCUGGUGCCAUGGUGUCGUUGGACAAUCCCAGGGUGGUCAACAGGGCCGGACCAUUCCCAAGUUGGAGAUCUUGUAGUGUUGGUCGCCUUCAGUCAUCCAUAAUGUCCUGGGGGUUGCCCAUUUGUACGUGAGGCCCGCUUCUUGCAGGGUGGUUGUGAUGGGCUGCAUGCUCUUGCGCCAUAAGUCUCUACUCAGGUCCUGGAAGAAGGUGAUUCGGUGUGUUUCAAAUUUGUGUAGUGUUUUCUCUUUAUUGGCUGUCAUCAGGGCUAUCUUAGGGAUUGGCAUCUUAAGAUGAUGUCGCGUGGAGCUGCCUUUGGUGCCUGCUGUGGUUUGGCUAUGUCUGUUGGGGAGGAGUGCGGCCACCAAGCGCCUUAUAAAGUGUGGCAGCUCGUCCAGUGGUACCACUUCUGAUACCCCCCUGAUUUUGAUGUUCUUUCUCCUACCUCUGCCGUCUAGUAUGGCGACUUGUCUGGUGUUUGCUUGUGCAGUUUGUAUUUGGGUGACUGUGUCUUUAAGUGAGGUCUUGGCGUAGGUCUCUCACCUCUUGUUCCGCGGCCUGGGUUCGGGCCGAUACUACUUGUACCUCUGCCGCCAGCCCCUACAGGUCAGCUUGCCACAUGUGCUGUAAAUUCCGUUGAAGACCAGCCAGCAUGGUCUGAAUGUCCUGCUUUGUUGCCGCUGCUGAGUCAUUAGCGGUGUGUAUGAGUGCGCUUCCUGCGUCUGUCAUAGCCAUGCUAUGUGUGGAGUCCCCAUCCUCGGACCUCUCGGGUGAGACCGCCUCGGCGGCUCUGGUCCAUGCAGGCGGAGGGGAUUGCAGCAUGCUGCCUAUGUCCCGGUGCGGCUUGGGAGCGCUCGGAUUUGGUUUGUGUUCGGAGUGUGCACACGCAGUUCUUUUUAGCCGAUGGGCUGUAGGUGUAUUGCUAGUUUUUUGCACUGGUAUAUCAGAGCCACUGUAAUUGGUGACCGCUGUGUUGCGCCGCUAGCUCCGCCCCCCCCAAACAAUAUUAAUACACAAUAUAUACAAAAUUUUACAUAAAACAGGUAGGAAAUAGAUAAUCAACCAUAACACGUGCAUUCUGUUUUGAGAUAUUUAGAGAGGGAUCUCUUAAAGGACUUUAGGCCUGGGUAAGAUUUAAAAGUGUGCGGGAGGUGGUUCCAUAAUUGCAGUGCUCUGUAGGAAAAGGAAGAUCAAUAUAUUUUACUAUAAAUCCUUAUAAAAUGCUAAUGCUAAUGAAUGCCUCAAAUGAUUUAAUGAUGGCUUCUUUCUGCUUUCAGAAUAAAUCUUUUACAAAUCUUUUUAUUGGCCACUAAUAAAAAUGCAAUAUUUUAAGUGUGUUAACAAAUGUUAUUUAUAUAUAUAUAUGCGUGUGUGUGCAUGUGUGACUUUGCUCUAGAUUCUAAGGAAUCAAGAGAAACCAUUGUUGCUAAAUAUGUAUUUCUUUACUUGAGGUGCUUCUCACUAACUAUAUAAGAAGCAUUUCAUUAUAAAGUAUUAUAUGGCAGUGAAUUAGCUUGACUGGAGGCCUAGAGAACUAUGCGGCUUAAUGAUGACGAUGAUGCCAUUAUUAAAAAACAUGGACUGAUAUGAGAUCUUAAUGGUUGAAAGAACCUCAGGCUGAGUGGUGGCCUUUUUUUGUAAUUUUUAUAGGAAAUUUGUUUGGGGAUGAUGUAAUGUCUAAACCAAGUGUGCUGACCAAUCAAUACAUUUUGAUAUCACUUGAUAUCAUACUCAUUAUAUCCUAGAUAGGGGAUCAUCAUUAUUUUUCAUUGCUGAUAAUGUGAUAAAAGCACAGGGGAGAUAUAGUACACCUUAUCUGGGGUGCUGAAAGUUGCCUACUCCUCUUUUAGAUCAGCUAUGUACCUUUUAUCCCUCUCAUCUACCACCUUAUUUCCACACGUUACUAUGACUAAUCAGAUAUGUAAUGUCAUUCUAUGGUGGGUAAAAAUAUAAUUAGUUUCCAUCUUUAUAAAGGCUGUUGGUAAAGCAGUGCCGUGUGAAUGUGUGACCCUUGCAAACCAUAGUUUUCUUUCAUAUUUAUUAGGAAAUUAGUUGGGACAAAAGUCUAUUGCAGUUAGGGCUAUAUGGUAGAUUCCCAGAUGUUGCAAAUAUACAUAUCCAACAAUAUUUAGCCAGCCAUCAAAAGUUGAAGCUGGGGAUGUCCCUAUUGGCCAUCCCUGGUCUAACGAUUGUGGCUUAAAUGUAAUAACAGCUGCACAUACUUUAAAACAAGAUUCGCUAUAAAACUUUUUUUGCAUAAGACUGCUAAUAUUAAUACAAAAAUGUGCCUCUCACAUCAACCACUUUUUUUUAUUUUUUAUAUUAUAUUAUUUCUUGUAGUUCGUCCAUGCAUUGUUUUUUUUUUUUCAAUUUCAGUAAUUAUUUUCCCUUCAAUACAGAUGAGGUUCCAAAGCCAGGCGGAUGCAGCCCGGAAUCCCCACAUCAUGACAAUGAACCCCCUCCAUGCCCAGACCUAUGUGAGGGAAUCGAAAAUUGCACCACGACGAGCUGCACCAUAGACAGUCAUUGUGAUGGCAGCCUGAAAUGCUGUAAGACGAGAUGUGGCAUGGAGUGUGUUCCACCGUAUUUUAGUGAGUCAAACUCUUCAUAAUGUACUAUGAUUGAUAAUAGAUGAUAUUUAUGGCAAAACAAAAGUUAUAAAAACUAAAAUAAAUAGAAAUUGACACAUGUUGUACUGAUAUGUAGAAUUACCUGCUUCAAUAUCCCAAGUUAUUAAUUCCUAGCUCUAUUUACCGUGACCCUAAUUAUUAUACAUGGCGGUACCUCGAUGACACAAGUUUCAUUUAAAUAAAAAUGUGCUUGAUCCAGCCAGUAGGAAGGCAUUUAAAUCAUCAUGGGAACCCUAUUUUGUCUCCUGUUCCAGGGUUUAGAACCAUUAAUCUAGGUCUUAAAGGCAUAUCAACAGAAUAGUCAUGUGUAAGUUUAAUUGUAAAUAAUUCUCUGUGUACACAACUACAACAUGUUAACUCUACAUUGAUACCUAUAACCAAAUAUAUGAUGGCAACAUUUAAAGUGGCAUGUUAUAUGACUUCCUGGUAACAAUGAUCUGUUUCUGCAUUUCACUGUAAGUAUAUAUAUAUAUAUUUUUUUUCUCCUAAAAUCAGGAAACCCCUGUCAAGGCAAUCAUGACUGUCCAUUGGGUCUAAAGUGCUGUAAUGGUGUAUGUGACAGCGACUGUAUCUAUCAACAGAAAAGACAAAGUCUUGUUACUAAAGGAUCACUCAGCGCUGUGAGCGUGAGUAUCGACAUAAACCACAUUUUGAGAAUACUUGUGCUAGCAUCUGUAAACAGGUAGCCCCCCAGCUGUUGUUGAACUAGAGCUCCCAUUAUGUUUUAGUUUGUUGAAUUUACCUGCGCGAUAAUAAAAUAGCUGUGAAUUUACUAGAAUUCUCUGCAAGCCAGCAGUUUACAUUAAUUUAGCCAUACCUUCCAAUAUUUCAAAUCCACAAAGAAACUUUAAUAUUAAAGGUGUGAGUGGGUGUGUGGCCUGGGGUGGUGCUGUUCUGAGAAAUUUUAGGUGACAUAGAACCUAAAAUAGGUUUAUUUAGAAUAAAAACAAUGUAUCUCAUUUACACAAACUGAUUUCUAAACACAUUUUUGGCAGUUUUAAGACACAUUACUGCAUUAUUGCUGUAGCGCUGUUAUACACUCAUACACACCAACAAUGUGGAGCUCCUAGAAAAGAGGGACAUUAGGACAGAAAAGAGGAACAGAAGGAUUUAGACCCAAAAUAGGGAAUAUCUCUCCGACAUAGGCACAUUUUGGGAGGUAUGAUGUGUUUUGGGCAAAUGCAAGUAUUACAAAUUUUAGAAUGCAAAGUUGUAUUUUUAAACAGUGUACUUUGUCUUUAAGAUAUUGCAAACUUCAAGGCUAUGCUACGUAAUAGCAAUAACCUCUUACCUACUUUCAGUGCAUAGUAUGCUGCGUAGUUCUAACUUACGCCAUUUUGUCUUCGCUUAAUGGGUUUUAUAUGUCUAUAUUUAUAUUUAUAUUUAUUAAAAUAUCUACAAAGACAAAACUUUGUUGCUUCCAAGACAAUCCUUAUUUUAUUUUGUAUUCUCAAUUAUUUAUAUGUAUUUUAGAUAGAGGAUCUCUUACUGACUAUAUAAUAUUAUGGCUAAGAUAUCUGUAUGGUUAGCCCUGCUAAGUGCUAUGCUUUAAGACGUUCUAGUGGUAAAUAAGGGAACCGGCUGCGAUUACAAAUGUAGCAGUAGACAAGGUAAGGUCAAAGCCAAAAUGGAUGACAAUUUGGGACAUUAUCAGUCUUGACACACAUAUUGUGAGAGAAUUCCAGGGAGUAAUUCCAUUAUUUAGUUUUUCUUUAAGUAAAAAUUAACUAUAUUUAAGACCAUAACCAUGAUUUCACUUUUUUUAAAUUCAAGGAUGCACUUCCUUAAUUAUUCACUUUCAGGUAGAAAUACAAUUGAUUGCACACUAAAAGGGGAGUGAAUUGAUAGAUGGAACAAAAUGCUAAAAUAAAAAAUGGGUCCACAAAGACAUAUAGCUAUCAAAAUCAGAAUAGAAUAUAAGUAGAUUUAAUCAAUAGUGUGUAAUUCUUCUCUACUCUCUGUUAUUGGUAUAUAGAAUGUGUUAUUUCACUGUUAUGAUAAUCUUAUGUGACAUGAUUUUGUUUUCAUUUUAGAAAAAGAAAGCUAAGUGACCAUAUCACAAGCAAAGCGACUCGAUUUCACCAGAAUCAAUGGAUAAAGUGACCUGUAGCCUAAAAAUAAACAUCUGAUAUGCCUGAGACAAAUUGAAUGAUGUUAAAAAUAAUAAAUAUGUACAAUAUAUUUUGCUUUGUAUUUUCUUUUGGUUGUAUUUGGUUUGGGACAUGUGAUACAUAUUGUAGUUUGUCUUCUUAUGCAUAUAGCAUAAACAUGUUAAUGAUACUAAUAUUACACUAUAGGUAAUUAUGACUUGGUGAUUGUGAUUUUG
Molecule: long non-coding RNA, 6677 nt
Filed under: Pelobates cultripes (western spadefoot toad)
Lineage: Eukaryota; Metazoa; Chordata; Amphibia; Anura; Pelobatidae
Source: RNAcentral